GGCCUGGUGGUCUAGUAGUAUGAUUCCUUGUUAGGGUUGCCUAAUUAUCGAGGAGGUCCCGGGUUCAAUUCCCGGCCAGGCCC
Phlebopus sp. FC_14 is the source of this 83-nucleotide non-coding RNA. Lineage: Eukaryota; Fungi; Basidiomycota; Agaricomycetes; Boletales; Boletinellaceae. The record is from the annotation of a GenBank genome assembly.